UAUCAGAUAACGCACUGACUAACUUUCUUGCUUGUAGAUUAUAGAUUAACCGACUUUACGUGCUGACUGGUAACCCCUCAUGUGAAACUUUCCAAGAACUCCUCAGCCGCCGCGGAUUACGGAUCCACGCAGUAUCUUCCACGGGCGUUGACCGAAAGCCUUCGAUAAAUUCCCCAGACUCUACCAAUAGGAUAAUAAAGACAUAUCAAGCGUCGAAGAACACAACUGGCACAUACGGAGGACACUUAUAUAUCUCGUAAAAUCCCGACCCCACCUGUGUACGUCGAUGCGGCGUCGUGAACAACGUCCUCAGUUAUCAAAUUCGGUCGGUUUUCACCGGACUGCGCGUGGACUAGAGUCAAAAUGUUGCUUUGCCGUGGUCUGCGCCGUUACGCCCCCUUAUUUCAUCAUUAUCUCCUUUCUCUGGUUACACGUGAUACUACGGGAGCCUCGUCUGGCUUUACUUGACAUUUCUCACACGUUCCUAUGUCUCACUUUUUUUUUUGCGCAACUAAUACAACACGCAAACAAUUCCUCCUGCAACUUCUGUUUGCCUUUGUAAUCUUUAUUAUGUCCUUACUAUCUUAACGCUUAGUCCGAUGCUCAGCCGAUUUUUGCAUCAGUCAUGAGAUGGAAUAUUUUAUAGCAAACUUUUAUUAUACUCAGGCAUCUGCCAUUGCGAUACAAUUAUCUAAAUUACUUCAUCGGCUGUCUUUAUUGUUGUACGUGUAACUGUUUCUUG
Long non-coding RNA from Cephus cinctus (wheat stem sawfly), 742 nucleotides. RefSeq lists it as uncharacterized. The transcript has 2 exons. The record is from RefSeq and is a predicted model, not a curated record. NCBI's taxonomy places the organism in Eukaryota, Metazoa, Arthropoda, Insecta, Hymenoptera, Cephidae.